Molecule: microRNA, 22 nt
Filed under: Gallus gallus (chicken)
Lineage: Eukaryota; Metazoa; Chordata; Aves; Galliformes; Phasianidae
Description: gga-miR-1706
Source: miRBase by way of RNAcentral
UGUGGAGGUGGGAUGAGGUUCC